Molecule: ribosomal RNA, 751 nt
Filed under: uncultured Actinomyces sp.
Lineage: Bacteria; Bacillati; Actinomycetota; Actinomycetes; Actinomycetales; Actinomycetaceae
Description: bacterial SSU rRNA
Rfam family: Bacterial small subunit ribosomal RNA
Source: RNAcentral
GACGAACGCUGGCGGCGUGCUUAACACAUGCAAGUCGAACGCUGAAGCCUAGCUUUUGUUGGGUGGAUGAGUGGCGAACGGGUGAGUAACACGUGAGUAACCUGCCCCCUUCUUUGGGAUAACGCCCGGAAACGGGUGCUAAUACUGGAUACUCACUGAUCUUCGCAUGGGGGUUGGUGGAAAGGUUUUUUCUGGUGGGGGAUGGGCUCGCGGCCUAUCAGCUUGUUGGUGGGGUGAUGGCCUACCAAGGCUUUGACGGGUAGCCGGCCUGAGAGGGUGACCGGUCACAUUGGGACUGAGAUACGGCCCAGACUCCUACGGGAGGCAGCAGUGGGGAAUAUUGCACAAUGGGCGAAAGCCUGAUGCAGCGACGCCGCGUGAGGGAUGGAGGCCUUCGGGUUGUAAACCUCUUUCGCUCAUGGUCAAGCCGCAACAUUGGUUGUGGUGAGGGUAGUGGGUAAAGAAGCGCCGGCUAACUACGUGCCAGCAGCCGCGGUAAUACGUAGGGCGCGAGCGUUGUCCGGAAUUAUUGGGCGUAAAGGGCUUGUAGGCGGUUGGUCGCGUCUGCCGUGAAAUCCUCUGGCUUAACUGGGGGCGUGCGGUGGGUACGGGCUGACUUGAGUGCGGUAGGGGAGACUGGAACUCCUGGUGUAGCGGUGGAAUGCGCAAUAUCAGGAAGAACACCGGUGGCGAAGGCGGGUCUCUGGGGCCGUUACUGACGCUGAGGAGCGAAAGCGUGGGGAGCGAACAG